UGAUGAUUCUGCAAAUUUGAAACUUCUAACCUUUCUUCGACUUUGCGGAGCGGAGAGGACUUAGCAUUCACUUCGCAGCGGGUUGCUGCCAUCAUUGCGCCGCUAUUUCGGACACCACAGCCGCCGAGUGUUGCCGUUUGAGCUGUGGCAGCCCGAUCGUCGGCCUCCUCUUGGGGCAGUACCCACGGUUCGGUGACAUACCUCGGGGUGGGUGAGUAUGCCGGCUCCUCCCACAGCUGCUGCUCCUCCUCUUCGGACCGUCGCAAGCGGGCCUGCCACUCAGGGUCCUCCUCUAUUUCUCUCAACCGCUUCUCCUCCGUCUUCCGCAGCGCUUCCAAGUUCAGCGGGAACUCCAGCGUGGCUGCCGCUACCCGCUCGUCCUGGCUGCGGGGAGUUCGUCCCCCGCAUGUGGCUCCUGGCUGACCCACUCGACCCUUGCUGUGCCGGUCUGGAUACGGCCGUCUGCGCCGCUGGUGGCCUUCCGAAGCCGCCACCUUCUCUG
Long non-coding RNA from Drosophila biarmipes, 502 nucleotides. RefSeq lists it as uncharacterized. The record is from RefSeq and is a predicted model, not a curated record. The transcript is spliced from 3 exons. NCBI's taxonomy places the organism in Eukaryota, Metazoa, Arthropoda, Insecta, Diptera, Drosophilidae.